RNAcentral lists this ribosomal RNA (403 nucleotides) under Fusobacteriota bacterium. RNAcentral describes it as "Fusobacteria bacterium partial 16S ribosomal RNA". It matches the Rfam family "Bacterial small subunit ribosomal RNA", at positions 355 to 776 of the family's 1533-position model. Lineage: Bacteria; Fusobacteriati; Fusobacteriota. The record is from RNAcentral.
UGGGGAAUAUUGCACAAUGGGGGAAACCCUGAUGCAGCGACGCCGCGUGAGCGAAGAAGGUUUUCGAAUCGUAAAGCUCUGUCCUAUGGGAAGAUAAGGACGGUACCAUAGGAGGAAGCCCCGGCUAACUUCGUGCCAGCAGCCGCGGCAAUACGUAGGGGGCAAGCGUUGUCCGGAAUCACUGGGCGUAAAGGGUUCGCAGGCGGAAAUGCAAGUCAGUUGUGAAAGGCAGAGGCUCAACCUCUGUAAGCAAUUGAAACUGUAUUUCUUGAGAUGUGGAGAGGCAAGUGGAAUUCCUAGUGUAGCGGUGAAAUGCGUAGAUAUUAGGAAGAAUACCGGUGGCGAAGGCGACUUGCUGGACACAAACUGACGCUGAGGAACGAAAGCGUGGGUAGCAAACAGG